AGGGAGUUAGGAAGGGGAUAGGUCUGUUGUCUCUACUAGAUAAGACAUACAUUUGGACAAAAUAUUUGAGUUUGCUCGCAUGCGUGGAUAAGUCCAAAGAACACAUGCAUUUGGACAAAAUGUUCAGGAUUGGUCACGUGCGAACAUAAUUCCAAAUAAGGCACAUAUUUGCAACAGAGACUUGCAUAUAAAAAGUCUGAUGAAAUCCCUUUGUUCAACAACACUCCAAAGACUAACGUUGUGUAAGAAGCUACCCUAUGUCAGGAGAUGUGGUGAAGACAUCGAGCAGAGUCUUCAGCCUGGUCAGCUGUGAACUCUCCUGGAGAUGAACAACAGCCUGGAUUAAACAUGGAUAAAAGAGCUGAAUUCCAAAG
Rhincodon typus (whale shark) is the source of this 374-nucleotide long non-coding RNA. RefSeq lists it as uncharacterized. The transcript is spliced from 2 exons. The record is from RefSeq and is a predicted model, not a curated record. NCBI's taxonomy places the organism in Eukaryota, Metazoa, Chordata, Chondrichthyes, Orectolobiformes, Rhincodontidae.